GGCCUCGUAGCUCAGUUGGCUACAACGUUGGCUGUACUAAAGCCUUCCCCUCGAUGGCGUGGGUUCGAACCCCACCGAGGCCG
Schistocephalus solidus is the source of this 83-nucleotide non-coding RNA. Lineage: Eukaryota; Metazoa; Platyhelminthes; Cestoda; Diphyllobothriidea; Diphyllobothriidae. The record is from Rfam.